Molecule: ribosomal RNA, 1332 nt
Filed under: Cellulomonas phragmiteti
Lineage: Bacteria; Bacillati; Actinomycetota; Actinomycetes; Micrococcales; Cellulomonadaceae
Description: bacterial SSU rRNA
Rfam family: Bacterial small subunit ribosomal RNA
Source: RNAcentral
CUUGCUGGUCUGAUCAGUGGCGAACGGGUGAGUAACACGUGAGCAACCUACCCUUCACUCUGGGAUAAGCCUUGGAAACGAGGUCUAAUACCGGAUACGAGACGCACGGGCAUCUGUAGCGUCUGGAAAGAUUUAUCGGUGGGGGAUGGGCUCGCGGCCUAUCAGCUUGUUGGUGGGGUAAUGGCCUACCAAGGCGACGACGGGUAGCCGGCCUGAGAGGGCGACCGGCCACACUGGGACUGAGACACGGCCCAGACUCCUACGGGAGGCAGCAGUGGGGAAUAUUGCACAAUGGGCGAAAGCCUGAUGCAGCGACGCCGCGUGCGGGAUGACGGCCUUCGGGUUGUAAACCGCUUUCAGCAGGGAAGAAGCGCAAGUGACGGUACCUGCAGAAGAAGCGCCGGCUAACUACGUGCCAGCAGCCGCGGUAAUACGUAGGGCGCAAGCGUUGUCCGGAAUUAUUGGGCGUAAAGAGCUCGUAGGCGGUUUGUCGCGUCUGCUGUGAAAACCUCAGGCUCAACCUGGGGCUUGCAGUGGGUACGGGCAGACUAGAGUGCGGUAGGGGUGACUGGAAUUCCUGGUGUAGCGGUGGAAUGCGCAGAUAUCAGGAGGAACACCGAUGGCGAAGGCAGGUCACUGGGCCGCAACUGACGCUGAGGAGCGAAAGCAUGGGGAGCGAACAGGAUUAGAUACCCUGGUAGUCCAUGCCGUAAACGUUGGGCACUAGGUGUGGGGUCCAUUCCACGGAUUCCGUGCCGCAGCAAACGCAUUAAGUGCCCCGCCUGGGGAGUACGGCCGCAAGGCUAAAACUCAAAGAAAUUGACGGGGGCCCGCACAAGCGGCGGAGCAUGCGGAUUAAUUCGAUGCAACGCGAAGAACCUUACCAANGGCUUGACAUACACCGGAAAAGNGCAGAGAUGUGCUCCCCGCAAGGUCGGUGUACAGGUGGUGCAUGGUUGUCGUCAGCUCGUGUCGUGAGAUGUUGGGUUAAGUCCCGCAACGAGCGCAACCCUCGUCCCAUGUUGCCAGCGGGUUAUGCCGGGGACUCAUGGGAGACUGCCGGGGUCAACUCGGAGGAAGGUGGGGAUGACGUCAAAUCAUCAUGCCCCUUAUGUCUUGGGCUUCACGCAUGCUACAAUGGCCGGUACAAAGGGCUGCGAUACCGCGAGGUGGAGCGAAUCCCAAAAAGCCGGUCUCAGUUCGGAUUGGGGUCUGCAACUCGACCCCAUGAAGUCGGAGUCGCUAGUAAUCGCAGAUCAGCAACGCUGCGGUGAAUACGUUCCCGGGCCUUGUACACACCGCCCGUCAAGUCAUGAAAGUCGGUAACACCCG